RNAcentral lists this transfer RNA (61 nucleotides) under Gammarus pisinnus. RNAcentral's name for it is "tRNA-Asn". Lineage: Eukaryota; Metazoa; Arthropoda; Malacostraca; Amphipoda; Gammaridae. The record is from RNAcentral.
UUGACUGAAGCUAAAAAGAAGCGAACCACUGUUGAUGGUUUAAUUGGGUUACCUUGUCGUU